UACGGAGGGUGCAAGCAUUAAUCGGAAUUAUUGGGCGUAAAGGGCGCGUAGGCGGAAAGAGAAGUCUGAUGUGAAAUACCGGGGCUCAACCUCGGUGCUGCAUUAGAAACUGACAUUCUUGAGGGAUGGCGGAGAAAACGGAAUUCCAAGUGUAGCGGUGAAAUGCGUAGAUAUUUGGAAGAACACCGGUGGCGAAGGCGGUUUUCUAGCUAUUACCUGACGCUGAGGCGCGAGAGCAAGGGGAGCAAACAGG
This 253-nucleotide ribosomal RNA is filed under the name uncultured Simkania sp. RNAcentral's name for it is "partial 16S ribosomal RNA". It matches the Rfam family "Bacterial small subunit ribosomal RNA", at positions 524 to 776 of the family's 1533-position model. The record is from RNAcentral. Lineage: Bacteria; Pseudomonadati; Chlamydiota; Chlamydiia; Parachlamydiales; Simkaniaceae.